UCAUUUAUUCUUUAUUAUUAUUAUCAUUGCCUCUAUUUUACAGAUAAAGAAACUAAGGCCCAGGGAAGUUAAGUGACUUGCCCAGGGUCGCACAGCUAGCAAGUGAAAGAACCUGGAUUCCAUGGUGGUUGAUCAAGAACCAGACUGACCUCUUAACCAUACAAGAACAACCCUGGAAAUCCACCCAGGUGUUUCCAAGAAUAAUCUUCAGCUUCAACACCAACCAAAAGAUUUCCCGACAAAGGGAGCUUUCUCUUUGGAAGAGCAAUUCUGAUUGAACUGAAUGUCCUCUGUAUAAGGGCAUAAGUCAAGUGCAAGUCACUUUGCCAUCAUCCUCAAUAGCACCACAUCACCCCAAGAGGCAGCACAAAGGUGCCUGUCUUCCAAGAUCCCACGGAACCCUGCAUUUCUCCUCUUCUGGUCCUUUUCAUGCUGUAUAUGGUUAGAGUUUAAGAGUGUGGAUUCAAGAAACAGACUGCUGGAGUUCCAGUCCAAGAGCAUCUAUCUCCUAGCUGUGUGACCUCAGGCAAGUUACUUAACCUCUCUGUGCUUCAGUUUCUUUAUAAACUAGAUAAAACGAAUACCUUUCUCAUAGGGGUGUUGUAAGGGCUAGACGAAUCAAAA
Molecule: long non-coding RNA, 624 nt
Filed under: Pan troglodytes (chimpanzee)
Lineage: Eukaryota; Metazoa; Chordata; Mammalia; Primates; Hominidae
Description: lncRNA (ENSPTRG00000053679.1)
Source: RNAcentral